This 354-nucleotide unclassified non-coding RNA is filed under the name Hevea brasiliensis (rubber tree). The record is from RNAcentral. Lineage: Eukaryota; Viridiplantae; Streptophyta; Magnoliopsida; Malpighiales; Euphorbiaceae.
CGCACCUGAUCUCUGCUUGUUUGUGAUUCAGCUUCUAUCUCUGAUCGAAGAGCCUCAUAUGCAACCUCAUCGAGGAAGUCAUCAGCUUCAUAGACAGCAUCUUUAAGCUCAUCAAGCCACUGUUUCACAGCGGGUUUGGUGAUCUCCUUCUCCUCAGCAUCAUCAAGCAGUCCAUUGACAGAUAUCAAAGUUGUCUUCAACUUCUUAAGCAGUCCAUCAUUGAGUCUUCGGGUGUUGAACAACCCAACAACCUGAGGAGAAGCUAUCCUAUCAAAUAGGACUUGAAGGAAAGCAGACAGAAAAGCACCUCCCACAGCUGCAGCAUCCAUGGUUCGAAAUGGGUUGAACUGUAAA